Molecule: ribosomal RNA, 456 nt
Filed under: uncultured bacterium
Lineage: Bacteria
Description: bacterial SSU rRNA
Rfam family: Bacterial small subunit ribosomal RNA
Source: RNAcentral
GCACAAGCGGUGGAGCAUGUGGUUUAAUUCGACGCAACGCGAAGAACCUUACCUGGGCUCGAAAUGUAGUGGAAUCCGGUGGAAACAUCGGCGCCCAGCAAUGGGCCGCUAUAUAGGUGCUGCAUGGCUGUCGUCAGCUCGUGUCGUGAGAUGUUGGGUUAAGUCCCGCAACGAGCGCAACCCUUGUUACCAGUUGCUACCAUUUAGUUGAGCACUCUGGUGAGACCGCCUCGGAUAACGGGGAGGAAGGCGGGGAUGACGUCAAGUCCUCAUGGCCUUUAUGUCCAGGGCUACACACGUGCUACAAUGGCCGGUACAAACCGCUGCAAACCCGCGAGGGGGAGCUAAUCGGAAAAAGCCGGCCUCAGUUCGGAUUGGAGUCUGCAACUCGACUCCAUGAAGCUGGAAUCGCUAGUAAUCGUGGAUCAGCAUGCCACGGUGAAUACGUUCCCGGGC